This 239-nucleotide long non-coding RNA is filed under the name Lathyrus oleraceus (garden pea). RNAcentral's name for it is "Pisum sativum (pea) long non-coding RNA (PSAT_LNC013612)". Lineage: Eukaryota; Viridiplantae; Streptophyta; Magnoliopsida; Fabales; Fabaceae. The record is from RNAcentral.
UCAAGCCUAACUUACUCAUCCUUGUUUUCGUCCUUUUUCAUUCUAGCGUAAUCACAUUAAGGUCGUUAUCCUUUCACGUCCAUAGCAAGAUAAUAUGUUAGUGACUAUGAUCUUAUCGUUAUUUUUCUUUUUUCUUUUUCUUGCACUUUUGCUCAAAUAUUAACAACUAAAGAGAUUUACACUGUUGAGUUAAAUGACCGAGUGAAGGUAACCUAACUUAGAAGGAACAUCCAUUUUUU